UUUCCGUAGGUGAACCUGCGGAAGGAUCAUUAAAGAGUAAGGGUCUUCGGGCCCGAUCUCCAACCCUUUGUUUAACUACCAUGUUGCUUUGGCGGGCCCGUCUCACGACCGCCGGGAGUUUGGCUUCGACCAAACUUCUGGCCCGUGCCCGUCAGUGGCCCCUUCAAAUUCUUGAUCAAGUAUGAUGUCUUAGUUAAAAACUUAAUAGUUAAAACUUUCAACAACGGAUCUCUUGGUUCUG
This 241-nucleotide unclassified non-coding RNA is filed under the name plant metagenome. RNAcentral's name for it is "partial contains small subunit ribosomal RNA, internal transcribed spacer 1, and 5.8S ribosomal RNA". The record is from RNAcentral.